UACAGAGGGGGCGAGCGUUGUUCGGAAUUACUGGGCGUAAAGCGCACGUAGGCGGAUAUUUAAGUCAGGGGUGAAAUCCCGGGGCUCAACCCCGGAACUGCCUUUGAUACUGGGUAUCUCGAGUCCGAGAGAGGUGAGUGGAAUUCCGAGUGUAGAGGUGAAAUUCGUAGAUAUUCGGAGGAACACCAGUGGCGAAGGCGGCUCACUGGCUCGGUACUGACGCUGAGGUGCGAAAGCGUGGGGAGCAAACAGG
RNAcentral lists this ribosomal RNA (253 nucleotides) under uncultured bacterium. RNAcentral describes it as "partial 16S ribosomal RNA". It matches the Rfam family "Bacterial small subunit ribosomal RNA", at positions 524 to 776 of the family's 1533-position model. The record is from RNAcentral.